AGCUUGGUGGUGGGCAGCGCUUCAGACUCAGGGUUUGUGGGGGUGGAAACAGUCAUUGGAUCUCACAAGUUCUGAGACUUGUUCCUGCUGGGAUUGGCUUCUUGCUGCAGCAGGGCCCGUCCUGAGCACCUUUCAUCCAGUACCAGGGAGUGACUAGUGGGAGGUGCUGGGAAGGAGCUGAGAUACAGGUGGUGUGUGGCUGGGGACUGAGCCUGGGAAGGUGAGACAGUCAGCUGGAGCUCCUGUCUUCAGGGAAGGUCCAAACAGGUACACUCAGCUGCCCAGGUAGGGGGACACCUGCCUUGACCUGCAAUUUGACUUUGAACAUCAGGAUCAAAGCAGCGGUGCUGUAGUCUCUCAAGACUGGUUUUUAUUUGCCUCUCUGGCUACAAGACUGUCUUGGCAACUGCCUGGGCCUGUGCAUCUGAACACAUGGGUCUUUCCCAUGGACACCAGGAGGAGAUGCCAGCCGGCCUGCGGUCUGGCAAGUGCAGGCCUGUGAGCCCCUUCAUGGUCAGAGACAGCUGCAGGGAUGGUGGAGGCCGAGGGUUGGUCUGAGCUGGUGCCCACCCGGGGCAGGAGCUGCCACAGCUGAGGCCUAAACUCUGGACAUAGCUGGAGCAGCCCAAGAUGUCCAGCCCCUUGGAGUCCUAGUGCUGUGUCCAAACUGCUGCUUCAUGCCCACUGUGCUGAGGAUGCACAUGGGGCCCCCUGGAAGCCCCUGCUGGAUGCUGUUGACGAGUUUUGAGCCCGUGGACUCAUCCUUGGAAUCUCUGCCCUGAGAGCCCCCACUGUCCCUGCUGGGAGUCCCAAAUCCCCAGUUUGGGGAGGGGUGGGCAAGGCAAGAGGGUGGGGCCUCUUUACCUGCCACUGCCCUUUUUCUCUAGGCACCGUGCUGGCCAAAGAGCUUUGGCCUCCCCCUGCUGUGUGGUGGUCCUACCACUAUGGACACCCCCAGCCAGUGCCCCUUGGAAGGCACAGACCCAGCCUGCUGACUGGUGCCUGAGGAGUAGUGAGGUGGGCCUGGAUCCUGAGGGAGGGAGAAAGAGCCAUUGGACAUUGCCUCUUUCCUUGUCCCCAUGUGGAGGAUGCUGGGGAGGGAUGUUGGGGUGGGUAGUGAAUUGGGGAGAAGAGGAAGUGAGACAUUCAGCCACCUCUGGCUGCCCUUCAAGGGGCUGGGCCUGGGUCUGGCUGAGCAGGGCAGCCGGGGUAGGCGGGUCUGACUCAGCACAGUGACGACACAGGGCCCGCCUGCUUUUCCCUGCACCCUGUAGUAUGCUAACGUUAAAUCAUUUGGCAAGAGUGUGUUUUUUAUAUAACUACUGCCUAACUUCUCGGUGUUCUGUUUGAGAGGUCUCUGUUGGGAUAAAGUUGUCUUUUGGAAUUGCAAA
Galeopterus variegatus (Sunda flying lemur) is the source of this 1391-nucleotide long non-coding RNA. RefSeq lists it as uncharacterized. The transcript is spliced from 2 exons. NCBI's taxonomy places the organism in Eukaryota, Metazoa, Chordata, Mammalia, Dermoptera, Cynocephalidae. The record is from RefSeq and is a predicted model, not a curated record.